ACUGAGCAAAAGGGAAUCACUGCAUCCCUUCAUGGAUGAUGAUCAGAAUAGUGUCCCGACUCUGCACGGUGUGUUAGAUGGUCUUCCACUCCCACUUUGUAAUUUCUCUCAACUCACCCAUAUAUCGUUACUUGUUUUAUUUUAUUUCAUCCUUACGGUAAAGAGCUCCAUUUAUUACAUAAUUGAACACACUGGUUGCAUUAAAAAAAAACAAGUAACGAUA
Molecule: unclassified non-coding RNA, 223 nt
Filed under: Hevea brasiliensis (rubber tree)
Lineage: Eukaryota; Viridiplantae; Streptophyta; Magnoliopsida; Malpighiales; Euphorbiaceae
Source: RNAcentral